This is a long non-coding RNA of Sander lucioperca (pikeperch), 215 nucleotides long. RefSeq lists it as uncharacterized. Lineage: Eukaryota; Metazoa; Chordata; Actinopteri; Perciformes; Percidae. The transcript is spliced from 2 exons. The record is from RefSeq and is a predicted model, not a curated record.
UCAAUAUCAGGAUUUAUUUUUUUCUGCAAUAAUACAAACUGUUACAAUGUGAGAUACAAAUAUGAAAUGGAACAUAAACAGUAUAUAACAUUCCACUAAUAAUGACACUAACGUUUAAAAUGUUCUGGCUAAAGACAGCACUGUCUUUUCACCAAAAUCCAGAGAUAUUAUAGCUGAUUAUAUUAUUAAAGUUUGCUGGUAUUCAGUGUUUUUAC